RNAcentral lists this ribosomal RNA (600 nucleotides) under uncultured bacterium. RNAcentral describes it as "bacterial SSU rRNA". It matches the Rfam family "Bacterial small subunit ribosomal RNA", at positions 735 to 1339 of the family's 1533-position model. The record is from RNAcentral.
CUUAACUGACGCUAAAGCUCGAAAGUGCGGGUAUCGAACAGGAUUAGAUACCCUGGUAGUCCGCACGGUAAACGAUGGAUGCCCGCUGUUGGCGAUAUACUGUCAGCGGCCAAGCGAAAGCGUUAAGCAUCCCACCUGGGGAGUACGCCGGCAACGGUGAAACUCAAAGGAAUUGACGGGGGCCCGCACAAGCGGAGGAACAUGUGGUUUAAUUCGAUGAUACGCGAGGAACCUUACCCGGGCUUGAACUGCAGGCGAACGAUUCAGAGAUGAUGAGGCCCUUCGGGGCGCCUGUGGAGGUGCUGCAUGGUUGUCGUCAGCUCGUGCCGUGAGGUGUCGGCUUAAGUGCCAUAACGAGCGCAACCCCUUUCUCCAGUUGCCAUCAGGUUAAGCUGGGCACUCUGGAGACACUGCCACCGUAAGGUGUGAGGAAGGUGGGGAUGACGUCAAAUCAGCACGGCCCUUACGUCCGGGGCUACACACGUGUUACAAUGGGUGGUACAGAGAGUCGGUCGCUGGCAAUAGCGAUCCAAUCCUAAAAGCCAUCCUCAGUUCGGAUUGGGGUCUGCAACCCGACCCCAUGAAGCUGGAUUCGCUAGU